Molecule: ribosomal RNA, 460 nt
Filed under: uncultured bacterium
Lineage: Bacteria
Description: partial 16S ribosomal RNA
Rfam family: Bacterial small subunit ribosomal RNA
Source: RNAcentral
CCUACGGGUGGCAGCAGUGAGGAAUAUUGGUCAAUGGACGCAAGUCUGAACCAGCCAUGCCGCGUGCAGGAAGACGGCUCUAUGAGUUGUAAACUGCUUUUGUACAAGGGUAAACCUGGAUACGUGUAUUCGGCUGAAAGUACUGUACGAAUAAGGAUCGGCUAACUCCGUGCCAGCAGCCGCGGUAAUACGGAGGAUCCAAGCGUUAUCCGGAUUUAUUGGGUUUAAAGGGUGCGUAGGCGGAUCGAUAAGUUAGAGGUGAAAUGCCGGAGCUUAACUCGGGCACUGCCUCUAAUACUGUUGAGCUAGAGAGUAGAUGCGGUAGGCGGAAUGUAUGGUGUAGCGGUGAAAUGCAUAGAGAUCAUACAGAACACCGAUUGCGAAGGCAGCUUACCAAUCUACGUCUGACGUUGAGGCACGAAAGCGUGGGGAGCAAACAGGAUUAGAUACCCGAGUAGUC